Non-coding RNA from Mus caroli (Ryukyu mouse), 3328 nucleotides. The record is from RefSeq and is a predicted model, not a curated record. Lineage: Eukaryota; Metazoa; Chordata; Mammalia; Rodentia; Muridae.
CCAUAAGAAGCAAUUCAGAGAAAUGUGAAAAUGUAAUUUACUGGGGUUCAGCUAGGACACCCAUCUUGUUCUAAAUCCAACAAGUUGAUCACAUGUGAGGGGCCCCAGCGUACCUUAAAAUAUAUCCAUUAAUUCCCAGAGAUUAAAAUCCAUGUGCUUAAGAACAACCACAACAAAAAUACCAGCUGCCUUUUGAAAGCAAGGGCGUUGGGAAAUGAAUGGAAUCUCGCGCUCCUGCUCUGUGUUCAAGAGCUUCGGCUACUGUGUUACAUCAGGAACGGCCAGUGCCUGGACCCCACCCUCCCCCACUCCCUUUUAAUUCAAUGGCUACGUGGGGGCUUCUUUGAUGGAGGCUUUGAAGUCGGUGGCUUUGAGAUUACUCUUCCUCUGUGACCUUGACCACCAGCCAUGAGAGCCGAGAACACAGCCAAGCCAGCAGGGAGAGUCUGUCAUUGAAGCCUAGAUCUCAUUGGAAUGACGUAAUGUAUUCACACAUACUGAGGAAGAGAAAUGAAUGCUUACUGCGGCUACCCUGCUUAGCUCCCAAGUAGUCAGAGGGGGAAAAUCACAUGGGCAGUGACAGAGAGAGGACCCAAGGAACUGUUUGUUUUCCCCUAGGUCUAAAGCCAAAACAAAGACAUGGAUAGCAGUGGUCACAAUUUGGGCUGCACCUGCAUCUUUACAACCAACCCUGACUCUGAUGAGAGCCAAGCUCCUAGUUCAGGAAACCGGAUGCAAUGGAAUGUACUGUAACCAAUACCCACAGGGAGCCGAGACCAAAGGUUUAUUUGAGUCAAGAAUCAGCUCAUGGAUGAACUCUGGGAAUCAUCUGUCUCUACCAUGCAUGAUUAGCCAAACAGUUCUGAAUUGGAAGGAACUAUGCACCCAAGACUAAUUUUGAAAGGAAUACGAGGAACAAAAUUGAAUGCUGGGAGAUUCUGUAAUCAAGAUGAAUAGUUUCUCAACAUUAAGGAACUGUGAGGAUGUUGGGCUAGGUAAGCAUAGUAAUAAAUUAAAUGAAAGGUUUCCGGAUGGCCAGGAUCAUGAUGGGCAGAACCUGGACAGCCAGGGUGGUAGAGCACCCAAGCCUAUCCGUGAUAGGUACCCGUUAGUUCUGAAGACUUGCCAUGUUUCAGAUAUUUGGCUGUGUUUGUUGUGAUGGCAGGAUUUUCAGAAAGUUUGGAAAUAUUUAAACAUUUCAUGGUUAGGACCUUAGGGUUUGGAGGUGGGCGGGGUUCAUUGACUUUUUUCAUACUGACGCUUGGAGGUCUGUUAGUUACCCCACACCUCAUGCUUCCAAAACCAACACCUCCCACCUACCUCCACCCUAGUUUAUCUGUUGAAGUCCAUAGGACAUCUAUCCAUUUUACUAUUAAUCUGAACAAAACACCAAAGCACAGGCACAUUUUUGCCGAGAUGGGUUUGCUUAAUACCCUGAAGCUAGAUAUAAAUUAUUUGUUAUUAUCUAGUCUUCAAAAACAUUCCCCUCUGAAUUUUGAAUCAUUUCCUGGCUGCCUUCAAGUUCAAUUUAGCUAUGUGCUCAAAGGAUGCUAUAACCAGUACACCAGUAAGUCUUUAUUUAGCUAGCUUCCACAGCACUCUUUUCAAAGAAGACUCCAUGUCCCAAUACUGAUUCUAAGUGCAUUUAUUAAUCAAACUGGAGACAAAGUUUCUUACCUUCUCUCUGGACUAAGAAUCCAAUUUUUCCUUGACAACAUACUUCCAAUGUCAGGGGUUAAGCUUUUAUUAACUCUUUCUAAAUCCACCCUCAAGUGGUUUGUGAAACAUCCCUAGAGUACAAGGUUGACCUCAGCCUGAGCUUCACCGUCUUUAAUUGGAUUGGAGUUUUCCCUCUCUUCCCUCAUUCCUUUAGGCGCCAAUCAGAAGCCACUGAGCUCCUGGGGUAUAUUAAUUACACGUAUUUUGACCAUGUCUUGGAUUUCCUCUCUGUUCAUAUCAUCUCUCUACUGUUCUCUACCACAAAACAGUUCAGGGACCCACUCUUUGGGAGUUUCCUGUUCCCAAGCAAUGCGGAGAGGACAACCUAUCUGAAUGCAUGGAGAAAUUCCUAUGGUAUCACAUGGCGAGGAAAAGAUUUCCUUUCCAUAUUCAUAGUGUUGCCAAGAGUUAAGGACAUGCCUCAGGCACCUGAGUAAAUUCUAGAGAAGUCUCCAUGGAGGGUAUUGGCCUUUGGAGGAAGGACUGAAACCAACUGCUAAAUAGGAUAUCUACAUUGGAAAAUUUUUAAAUGAAAAUGAUCACAAAAAUGUAAUGCAAGUAGGAGGGUUGUUUUUUUUUCAUGAUUUUGUACAAACAGAGCUUUGCAUCUAGCAGAGCACCAGAUACUCUCACUUCUUUAUCAUGAGCAUGGUGAAUGCUGUCUUCAACGCACAGAGAACAGGAUGCUGAGAGAUCUUAAGGGGUUGUUCAAUGCCAGAGAAGCUGACUGUGUACAAAGCUAAGUGUCUCUUCUGCCUUAUUUGCUUCUCCUUCUCGUAUGAACACCAACUCAUGUUCACUUACCCAAUAAGUGGUGCAACUUAAAACCUACAGCUAGCAAAGAUACUGAACCCAUGGAAUUAAACUGCAUGUCUGAAUCCAUUCUCCCCUUUCUCCCGACCAUACAACCAGCACCCCUUCCUUCCACCACACUGGUAGAUUAUGCUAAGACUGCUGAACUCCCUCCCUAGCGUAAAAGGUGGCUACUGUUCAUGACAUUCCUCUCUCUGAAUUGUCCGUCCUGACUUUGUCCAUCUGCUCUCAAGCCCAUUUGCUCCAUCUGUGCUUUAAGAUUGUGCUCCUCCCUUCCACUGUUCGCCAUGUAACAUCAGAUCAUACCCUUGAACUAAAUCAGUGAAAUGAUGUAUCUAAAAAGCAGGCUGAAAACGAUACUGUUGAUGACAGCUGUUUUGAGUGUUAUGGUUUGUAUAUGCUUGCCCCAAGGAAUGGCACUAUUAAAAGGUACGGCCCUGUUAGAGUAGGUGUAGCCUUGGUGGAGUAGAUGUGUCACUGUGGAUGUGGGCUUUAAGACCCUCAUCCUACCUGUCUGGAAGCUAGUAUUCUGCUAGCAGCCUUCAGAUGAAGUUGUAGAACUCUCAGCUCCUCCUGCACCAUGCCUGCCUGGAUGCUGCCAUGUUUCCACAUUGAUGAUAAUAACUGAACCUCUGAACCUAUAAGCCAGCCCCAAUUAAAAAUUGUCCUUAUAAGAGUUGCCUUGGUCAUGGUGUCUGUUCACAGCAGUAAAACCCUAACUAAUACAUAGAGUUUUGUACUUAGCACAAUAUAUAUCAAAUGGUAAUAAAUCAAUAAAUAUUUGUACUAGCUUAUG